RNAcentral lists this non-coding RNA (156 nucleotides) under Hyphomicrobiales bacterium. Its description in RNAcentral is "6S RNA". It matches the Rfam family "6S / SsrS RNA". From Rfam's summary of the family: E. coli 6S RNA was the first non coding RNA to be sequenced, but its function was unknown until recently. It consists of 184 nucleotides that fold into an extended hairpin structure with a large single-stranded internal bulge. Lineage: Bacteria; Pseudomonadati; Pseudomonadota; Alphaproteobacteria; Hyphomicrobiales. The record is from RNAcentral.
GGCGUUCUGCGCUUCUCGACAGGAGUAACAUUCCCCGGGGCCUUAUUGAUCCCAAGGGAGCUGUCCCUGGCCGGACCCGUGGGUUCGGACACACGGCGCCCACCUACAUUGUAGGCACCCGGGAUCAACCUCUCCACCGGCCGUCGCGGAUCGCCA